This 488-nucleotide ribosomal RNA is filed under the name uncultured Turicibacter sp. RNAcentral's name for it is "bacterial SSU rRNA". It matches the Rfam family "Bacterial small subunit ribosomal RNA", at positions 8 to 507 of the family's 1533-position model. Lineage: Bacteria; Bacillati; Bacillota; Erysipelotrichia; Erysipelotrichales; Turicibacteraceae. The record is from RNAcentral.
AGAGUUUGAUCCUGGCUCAGGAUGAACGCUGGCGGCGUGCCUAAUACAUGCAAGUCGAGCGAACCACUUCGGUGGGAAGCGGCGAACGGGGUGAGUAACACGUAGGUGAUCUGCCCAUCAGACGGGGACAACGAUUGGAAACGAUCGCUAAUACCGGAUAGGACGAAAGUUUAAAGAUGCUCCUGGCAUCAUUGAUGGAUGAGCCUGCGGCGCAUUAGCUAGUUGGUGGGGUAAAGGCCUACCAAGGCGACGAUGCGUAGCCGACCUGAGAGGGUGAACGGCCACACUGGGACUGAGACACGGCCCAGACUCCUACGGGAGGCAGCAGUAGGGAAUCUUCGGCAAUGGGCGAAAGCCUGGCCGAGCAACGCCGCGUGAAUGAAGAAGGCCUUCGGGUUGUAAAAUUCUGUUAUAAGGGAAGAAAGGUGAUAGGAGGAAAUGACUAUCAAUUGACGGUACCUUAUGAGAAAGCCACGGCUAACUACGUG